This 350-nucleotide long non-coding RNA is filed under the name Drosophila guanche. Lineage: Eukaryota; Metazoa; Arthropoda; Insecta; Diptera; Drosophilidae. The record is from RNAcentral.
GUCCUUGCAUAGAGGCACUAGGCGAGUGUUUUUCAUACAUGAUUUCGGGCAUUUUCGAUGUCCUACGUAUGGCUUUUCAAUAAGAUAGCAAGCCGUAUGUUGUUGCUUGCGUUCCUGCCGCAAUGACCGAAGUGUUCUGGGCACCCUGCCGCCUCUUCGAAUCCCUGAGGGAGUUUGACAUAUCUUUUGAAGAAAGACGGUUGUCGGUUUUCUUUGACAGAGUCGGAGUCCGCCAAGCAAGAAGAUCCUUGCUGGCAUGUGUGUCUGUGCAGCCCGUCCUCAAGGUGUGGUUGGGUUUUGGCAAUAUAUUCGAGCCUCUCUUCGAUUUCCGUUGUCACCUUCUCCGGCAC